This 406-nucleotide ribosomal RNA is filed under the name uncultured bacterium. RNAcentral's name for it is "partial 16S ribosomal RNA". It matches the Rfam family "Bacterial small subunit ribosomal RNA", at positions 30 to 526 of the family's 1533-position model. The record is from RNAcentral.
AUUGAACGCUGGCGGCAGGCCUAACACAUGCAAGUCGAGCGAGCGGCGGACGGGUGAGUAAUGUAUGGGGAUCUGCCCGAUAGAGGGGGGUAACCACUGGAAACGGUAGCUAAUAACGCAUACUAUCGGCUGAACCCAUAUGUGAUGAGCUAGGUGGGGAGGUAAGGGCUGACCAAGGAGACGAUCCCUAGCUGGGCUGCGAGGAUGAUCAGCCACACUGUGACUGAGACACGGCCCAGACUCCUACGGGAGGCAGCAGUGGGGAAUUUUGGACAAUGGGGGAAACCCUGAUCCAGCCAUCCCGCGUGUAUGAUGAAGGCCUUCGGGUUGUAAAGGACUUUUGGCAGAGAAGCGGUAUCUGCAGAAUAAGCACCGGCUAACUACGUGCCAGCAGCCGCGGUAAUUC